This 429-nucleotide ribosomal RNA is filed under the name Verrucomicrobiota bacterium. RNAcentral describes it as "Verrucomicrobia bacterium partial 16S ribosomal RNA". It matches the Rfam family "Bacterial small subunit ribosomal RNA", at positions 355 to 776 of the family's 1533-position model. The record is from RNAcentral. Lineage: Bacteria; Pseudomonadati; Verrucomicrobiota.
UAGGGAAUCUUCCGCAAUGGACGAAAGUCUGACGGAGCAACGCCGCGUGAGUGAAGAAGGAUUUCGGUUCGUAAAACUCUGUUGUUGGGGAAGAAAAAAUGUAUAGUAACUAUAUACAAAAGAGACGGUACCUAACCAGAAAGCCACGGCUAACUACGUGCCAGCAGCCGCGGUAAUACGUAGGUGGCAAGCGUUGUCCGGAAUUAUUGGGCGUAAAGCGCGCGCAGGUGGUUUAGAAAGUCUGAUGUGAAAGCCCACGGCUCAACCGUGGAGGGUCAUUGGAAACUAAUAAACUUGAGUGCAGGAGAGAAAAGUGGAAUUCCUAGUGUAGCGGUGAAAUGCGUAGAGAUUAGGAGGAACACCGGUGGCGAAAGCGGCUUUUUGGCCUGCAACUGACACUGAGGCGCGAAAGCGUGGGGAGCAAACAGG